GAUGAACGCUGGCGGCGUGCCUAAUACAUGCAAGUCGAGCGAACAGACGAGGAGCUUGCUCCUUUGACGUUAGCGGCGGACGGGUGAGUAACACGUGGAUAACCUACCUAUAAGACUGGGAUAACUUCGGGAAACCGGAGCUAAUACCGGAUAACAUGUUGAACCGCAUGGUUCAACAGUGAAAGACGGUCUUGCUGUCACUUAUAGAUGGAUCCGCGCCGCAUUAGCUAGUUGGUAAGGUAACGGCUUACCAAGGCAACGAUGCGUAGCCGACCUGAGAGGGUGAUCGGCCACACUGGAACUGAGACACGGUCCAGACUCCUACGGGAGGCAGCAGUAGGGAAUCUUCCGCAAAGGGCGAAAGCCUGACGGAGCAACGCCGCGUGAGUGAAGAAGGUCUUCGGAUCGUAAAACUCUGUUAUUAGGGAAGAACAAAUGUGGAAGUAACUAUGCACGUCUUGACGGUACCUAAUCAGAAAGCCACGGCUAACUACGUG
RNAcentral lists this ribosomal RNA (497 nucleotides) under uncultured bacterium. Its description in RNAcentral is "partial 16S ribosomal RNA". It matches the Rfam family "Bacterial small subunit ribosomal RNA", at positions 28 to 507 of the family's 1533-position model. The record is from RNAcentral.